GAAAAAAUAAAUGUCUAUUAGUCAAAUAGAAUGUCACACAGAAUAUCAAAGCAGAUUGUUAAGUGUUACAGAUCCCGGAACACACACAGCUAUACAAGCUGAGAUAAAAAACCAGAAAAACAAAAAAGAACCCAGAAAAAAUACAUCAAGGUAGCAGAACAUGACUACCAAAAGAAACACCAGAAUAUCCAUCAUAGCACAUCAUCAGAAGAGUGGGGGACAACUUCAACAAAACUAGUC
Molecule: long non-coding RNA, 240 nt
Filed under: Lathyrus oleraceus (garden pea)
Lineage: Eukaryota; Viridiplantae; Streptophyta; Magnoliopsida; Fabales; Fabaceae
Description: Pisum sativum (pea) long non-coding RNA (PSAT_LNC002137)
Source: RNAcentral